Molecule: long non-coding RNA, 493 nt
Organism: Exaiptasia diaphana
Lineage: Eukaryota; Metazoa; Cnidaria; Anthozoa; Actiniaria; Aiptasiidae
Exons: 2
Source: RefSeq, a predicted model, not a curated record
CUUAUGCUUAAAAAAUACGAGGGGGGAGUGUGGUGCUUUCACAGUUACGUUAAUUAGAUAAGAUUAGAUUAGAUAGGUGACGUCAGGGAAAUACAGAAAAUUCAUGCUUUCCUGAAAAACGGCAUCUAAUUCAUAGUUGCAUGCUUUUCAUCACGUUGUCUUCAUAUGGCGAGUCUUUUUAUCUUAUGCCGUAUAAAAGAUCUUUMUAGACACAAGACAACUUCUAAAGUAUCUUGAGAGAAGCCUUCUCGACUCAUAACGUUUAUCUUCCGAGAAUCCCUGGAGUUCGUUUAGCCUGAGACUAUUAUUUCAUUACAUGACACUUUUCUUUGAAGGUGGACAUGGUGUCAUCGAAGACUUAAAUACACUGAUCUUGAAUCAUCGACAAAGUAUUUCAAUUUCGAGUUAUCUUGAAACUACUCCUAAUUUUUCUUCAACUGUUGUAAAACAUAUAGUGAACUGAAGAGGUUUUAAUAAACGAAACUAGUUUUCA